This is an RNA transcript of Fopius arisanus, 2391 nucleotides long. It is a transcript of the gene named feline leukemia virus subgroup C receptor-related protein 2, with no coding region annotated. The transcript is spliced from 8 exons. Lineage: Eukaryota; Metazoa; Arthropoda; Insecta; Hymenoptera; Braconidae. The record is from RefSeq and is a predicted model, not a curated record.
UUUCAAAGUACUCCAGGAAACUUUCUAUUCCAUUUUUUUAACGUUGAUGUUGUGCAAUCAAGAGCAAUUAGCCGAGAACGCAUACUUGGAAGAACCGUUCAGUGGUACAAAAUGGCUAUGAGUCCGAAAGGAAUUGAAACGCUGCAAGUGAAUAAGUCAAUCAAAUAUCAAGCUGUACUGCAACAAUUUGUGAUUUCUCAUAGUUGAAUUGGUAAAAUGGCAGUACAAGCAGGAAGUGCAGAAUAUGCAUUGAUAGAAUGCACUGAUAAAGUAUUUUCGUUGAAUUACGAAAUGAUAAGUGUCGAUGGAUCAAAAGUGACGAUUAAAACGUCGAAAACGCGGUGGCUAAUAAUAGCAGUUUACAUUUUCUAUUGUGGAAUAAGUGCUUUUCAAUGGGUGGAAUAUUCCAUUGUCGGAAAUAUCAUAGCAAGAUAUUAUCACGUGACAGUGGAGAAGGUAGAUUAUACGGCAAUGGCGUACAUGCUCUUCCCCAUACCGCUAGUAAUUCCGGGCUCUCACAUUGCUGAACGCAUUGGUCUGAGGUGGACCAACAUCGUUGGUAGUGGUCUAAUCUGCCUUGGCUCGUGGGUUAAAAUCUUCUCAGUCCAUCCCGAUCGAUUCCUCUUGACACUUGGUGGUCAAUCAUUUCUCGCAGUUAGUCAGGAUGAACCGAAAUAUCCACCCAGUGAAACACGUGCACUCCAGAAAAAGGAACAUGAUGGAACAGAAAGGACACUCGUAGAAUCAAUUAAAAGACUGAUGACCAACGCAAGCUACUUGAUACUUUGUAAUUCAUACGGAUUGGGAAUAGGAGUGUUGAAUGCCCUCAGCACUAUGUUGAAUCAAAUUGUCUUGGCUCGCUUUGAGGAUGGUGAGGAAUUUGCUGGUAGAUUAGGGCUCAUCAUCCUUGUGAUGGGAAUGUUCGGUUCCAUCACAUUCGGCCUUAUUCUUGAUAAGACUCAGAAAUUUAAGGAGACUACAGUAACGGUUUAUCUUUCUACUUUAUGCAGUCAGAUAUUUUUCACCAUUUCAAUAUUGAUCGAGAGUAAUUCAUUAACCUACAUAGCAGCUUCCAUCCUCGGAUUCUUUAUAUCGGGUUACUUAGCCUUGGGCUAUGAAAUGUGUGCCGAGUAUACCUAUCCGGAGUCGGAGUCCCUGGCCACUGGAAUUUUAAACAUAGGAAAUAACUUAUACGGUAUAAUCCUGAUCCUAGUUUGCAGCCAACUGAAAAAGUACUACGGCGAUGUUGCAGUACACAUUUGUCUUUGUUCAGCCCUCUUGGUCGGAUUGAUCCUGACAGUGAUGACUAAGGAUGAACAGAGACGUCAGAACGCCAAGAGAAAUAAUAAGUUCACAGUGUCUCGGAGUUAUUAAAGGAUAAUUGUCAAGUGGAGGACUCAACGAUGAGGAUGAUUUAUUAUGAGACGGAUGAAUUGACCUGAAGAAGGAGUCGAAAUUAAACAGGAGGUAAAAUUGUGAGUGAGAAUGGAAUGGAAUUAUGCGCUUGCGUGCGACAAGCAAUCUCAUGCCGGAAAUGUCAACGGUGAACGGUAUUACCGGAGAAGAAAAUUGAUGAGGAACAGGGGUACGGAGUUAUUCUCAAGGAUAACAGAGUUCCUGGUUUGGGUAUUUGAGAAUAAUAUGUAAAUACACAUGGACUAAACUCCUGUACAAUUUAUAAAUUGUUCAUAAUCAUUGAAAAAGGAAAGUUUGUUUUCCUAAUAUAAACUUUCAAUACCAAUAGUGUGAUAUUAUACAUUAGUUAUAAUAUCAUCUUUAUAUUGUUGUUUUAUAUUUCCACGUUGUUUUGUCUUUGUGUGCAAUGUACGAUUAUAAACUCUCGUUUUCAUUCCAUAGAGAAUUAUUUGUUGCAUAACAAUAGUUUUAAUAGUUGUAACAAGUGAUACAGUACUGGUGUGACCAUAAUUAUCUGCGCAGGAAGAAUUACAGUGAUUUUCUUUUCCGAAUGAUUUUUAAUAAACCCACCGUUAUUUCCUGCAUUAUCAACGAACAGCUCUGAAAUAAUUAUGAUUCACUUUGUAUACAUUUAAUAAAUUUAUUAUUAUACCAUCGGUCAGGCAAAUAACAGUAUAGUAGAAUCCUAUUAUAGUCGCACCUCUCUACUACCUCCAGGCUCCAACUUGUAAACAAUCCGUUGUUUAGUCUGAUUAGGAAUUGGAUUCCGGGAGGAAUGAAGCCGAAAAAUAAUGUUCUCUCGUAUCCAAAUUUACUGUGAAAAAAUGGAGUUUACUGUUGCAGCGAGCGCGUGGUGGUAGUUGCACAUAAUUGAAUACUCUGAAUUCACAUCCCCUACAACCCCAUGCCCGCGACUACAACGGGAGUCUACUGUAGAUGUUUCGUGGACAAUAACAACUGUGAGAGUCAAAUAAA